Molecule: ribosomal RNA, 253 nt
Filed under: uncultured bacterium
Lineage: Bacteria
Description: partial 16S ribosomal RNA
Rfam family: Bacterial small subunit ribosomal RNA
Source: RNAcentral
UACGUAGGUGGCGAGCGUUGUCCGGAAUUAUUGGGCGUAAAGCGCGCGCAGGCGGUCUUUUAAGUCUGAUGUGAAAGCCCACGGCUCAACCGUGGAGGGUCAUUGGAAACUGGGAGACUUGAGUGCAGAAGAGAAGAGUGGAAUUCCACGUGUAGCGGUGAAAUGCGUAGAGAUGUGGAGGAACACCAGUGGCGAAGGCGACUCUUUGGUCUGUAACUGACGCUGAGGCGCGAAAGCGUGGGGAGCAAACAGG